GUUAUCCGUACCCCAUACAUAAAUUCGCAAUCCACUAUUUUGAAGUUUAGUUGGAUAUAACGACUUCUCCAUCGUGUUCUCUUCUGUACACUUUAAAAGUGUAAUUACCAGGAGUGGGGUUCGAACCCACGCGGACAUACAUCCAUUGGAUCUUAAGUCCAACGCCUUAACCACUCGGCCAUCCUGGUAGAUAUGAGGAAAUUACUUGAAUUGUAUAUUUGACACAGAUUAAGAAGUUCUACAUUUAUGUACAAAGUACCCAGAUGCAAUGGUGUUUCCUGCUAGGAAUGCAUCCAGGCUUAUGGGAACAGCAAGCUCUGAACCUGAAAAAAGAGGAGAGCUGUGAGAGCUGGUAUGCUACAGCCAUCACCUAGACAGGGCCUCAAAGAAGCCAGCAGUAUGGGAGUUCUCAGCAGAAGCCACUGGUGGUUGGAUUUUACACCAACAAAACAUGGAGGGAGAUACACCAGAACUAUGAAAUUUUCUUACUUACAUUCUAAGUAAUUUUUGUUAAAUAGUGCUAAAUACAAAGCUCUCUUUAUAGAUGAGACACCCUGUCUAAAGAUGAGUUACAAUCCAACACAGUAAAACUGACAUAAUGCAGAUGGUUCAACAAUACAUUUAACUGAGAACUGGAAAGCAUGUAAAACAAGAAUAGAUGACAAACAUCUAGAGAAAUAUAUACAGAAAAUGAAAAUCAGAGUUCAGUGAUAGGGAGAUGUAAGGGCAACAAAACCAAUCAAAAAGCUUUAUAUGCUGCCUGUAGAGAUUAGGAGGUAUGGCAAUGUGGCCAGAGAUUGACAGUAACAUAAUUAAGCACUGACAUGUUCUAGAAUAUGUUAAUGUAUAGUAUAAUUAACAUCAACCUAUUAUGCAUUCCCAUUUUUCUUUAUUUAUUUAUUACUGGAAGCAUUUUGCAUAAAAAAUAGAAUUUUUGCUUCUGAGCAAUUUGCUUCUAUUAACUUUCCCUACCUGAUAAACAUGGAUCAAUGCUCUGAUAUCACAAAAUCUCUGAUGCCACAGCAGUAGAUUACGAUUUGGAUUAAGGAUUAAGACAAAAUGCAUACCAACACCAAAUAAAUUCUAAUGGACAAAGAUCUAGGUUAUGACACAAAAAGAUCUGAAAUGGCAUAAUGCAAGGCUGACAUUUCAGCAAACGUUUACACUAUGCAGCCUAAUAUGUAAAGACACCAUGACACAACUUGGAGAACAGCAAGAUUUAAGAUUGCACUGCACAAAUGAACGUUCUGGAGCAAGAAAGCAUGAGGGCAUAACAUUUAGCAAUAUUUAAGGCUUAGGAUUAAAACAGUGCAGUGUUAUACCACUCCAUCUCUGUACAUUACAUCACUGGAUAAAACGGUGAAACAUAUUGAAAGGAAGCUGAGAAGCAAGAAGGAGAAAGAAAGAGAG
Molecule: long non-coding RNA, 1410 nt
Organism: Protopterus annectens (West African lungfish)
Lineage: Eukaryota; Metazoa; Chordata; Ceratodontiformes; Protopteridae
Exons: 3
Source: RefSeq, a predicted model, not a curated record